RNAcentral lists this unclassified non-coding RNA (253 nucleotides) under uncultured Caryophanales bacterium. RNAcentral describes it as "uncultured Bacillales bacterium contains 16S-23S intergenic spacer region". It matches the Rfam family "Bacterial small subunit ribosomal RNA", at positions 524 to 776 of the family's 1533-position model. The record is from RNAcentral. Lineage: Bacteria; Bacillati; Bacillota; Bacilli; Caryophanales.
UACGUAGGGAGCCAGCGUUGACCGGCAUUAUUGGGCGUAAAGCGCGCGCAGGCGGUCCUUCAAGUCUGAUUUGAAAUCUUGCGGCUCAACCGCAAGCGGUCAUUGGAAACUUGGGGACUUGAGUACAGUAGAGGAGAGCGGAAUUCCACGUGUAGCGGUGAAAUGCGUAGAGAUGUGGAGGAACACCAGUGGCGAAGGCGGCUCUCUGGUCUGUAACUGACGCUGAGGCGCGAAAGCGUGGGGAGCAAACAGG